RNAcentral lists this ribosomal RNA (467 nucleotides) under uncultured bacterium. Its description in RNAcentral is "partial 16S ribosomal RNA". It matches the Rfam family "Bacterial small subunit ribosomal RNA", at positions 28 to 506 of the family's 1533-position model. The record is from RNAcentral.
GACGAACGCUGGCGGCGUGCUUAACACAUGCAAGUCGAACGGAAAGGCCCUGCUUUUGUGGGGUGCUCGAGUGGCGAACGGGUGAGUAACACGUGAGUAACCUGCCCUUGACUUUGGGAUAACUUCAGGAAACUGGGGCUAAUACCGGAUAGGAGCUCCUGCUGCAUGGUGGGGGUUGGAAAGUUUCGGCGGUUGGGGAUGGACUCGCGGCUUAUCAGCUUGUUGGUGGGGUAGUGGCUUACCAAGGCUUUGACGGGUAGCCGGCCUGAGAGGGUGACCGGCCACAUUGGGACUGAGAUACGGCCCAGACUCCUACGGGAGGCAGCAGUGGAGAAUAUUGCACAAUGGGCGGAAGCCUGAUGCAGCAACGCCGCGUGCGGGAUGACGGCCUUCGUGUUGUAAACCGCUUUCGCCUGUGACGAAGCGUGAGUGACGGUAAUGGGUAAAGAAGCACCGGCUAACUACGU